Non-coding RNA from Oryza punctata, 208 nucleotides. The record is from Rfam. NCBI's taxonomy places the organism in Eukaryota, Viridiplantae, Streptophyta, Magnoliopsida, Poales, Poaceae.
AAAGAGUGCAGCUUUUAUGUUUAUAUCUAAUGCUUGAUAGUCCGUUUUAUCUAAAAAUUUUUUUGUUAUGAUUAUUAUUUUUAUCGUUAUUAGAUGAUAAAGCAUGAAUUGUACGUUAUGUGUGACUAAUUUUUUUAAUAUUUUUAUAAAUUUUUAAAUAAAACAGAUAGUCAAAUGUUGAACACGAAAACCCAUAACUGCAUUUAAA